GACGAACGCUGGCGGCGUGCUUAACACAUGCAAGUCGAACGGAAAGGCCCUGCUUUUGUGGGGUGCUCGAGUGGCGAACGGGUGAGUAACACGUGAGUAACCUGCCCUUGACUUUGGGAUAACUUCAGGAAACUGGGGCUAAUACCGGAUAGGAGCUCCUGCUGCAUGGUGGGGGUUGGAAAGUUUCGGCGGUUGGGGAUGGACUCGCGGCUUAUCAGCUUGUUGGUGGGGUAGUGGCUUACCAAGGCUUUGACGGGUAGCCGGCCUGGGAGGGUGACCGGCCACAUUGGGACUGAGGUACGGACCAGACUCCUACGGGAGGCAGCGGGGGGGAAUAUGGCACAAUGGGCGGAAGCCUGAUGCAGCAACGCCGCGUGCGGGAUGACGGCCUUCGGGUUGUAAACCGCUUUCGCCUGUGACGAAGCGGGAGUGACGGUAAUGGGUAAAGAAGCACCGGCUAACUACGUG
Molecule: ribosomal RNA, 468 nt
Filed under: uncultured bacterium
Lineage: Bacteria
Description: partial 16S ribosomal RNA
Rfam family: Bacterial small subunit ribosomal RNA
Source: RNAcentral